This 376-nucleotide ribosomal RNA is filed under the name uncultured bacterium. Its description in RNAcentral is "bacterial SSU rRNA". It matches the Rfam family "Bacterial small subunit ribosomal RNA", at positions 521 to 896 of the family's 1533-position model. The record is from RNAcentral.
UAAUACGUACUGUGCGAACGUUAUUCGGAAUCACUGGGCUUAAAGGGUGCGUAGGCGGCCAAAUAAGUAGGGUGUGAAAUCCCCCGGCUCAACCGAGGAAUUGCGCUCUAAACUAUUUGGCUUGAGUGAGAUAGGGGUGUGCGGAACUUCCAGUGGAGCGGUGAAAUGUGUUGAUAUUGGAAGGAACGCCAGUAGCGAAAGCGGCACACUGGGUCUCAACUGACGCUGAGGCACGAAAGCCAGGGGAGCGAACGGGAUUAGAUACCCCGGUAGUCCUGGCUGUAAACGAUGAGUACUAGUCGGGAGGGGCUUCGGCCCAUCCCGAGUAAAGCGAAAGCGUUAAGUACUCCGCCUGGGGAGUAUGGUCGCAAGGCUG